This 1118-nucleotide long non-coding RNA is filed under the name Lactuca sativa (garden lettuce). Its description in RNAcentral is "long non-coding RNA (LSAT_LNC004773)". The record is from RNAcentral. Lineage: Eukaryota; Viridiplantae; Streptophyta; Magnoliopsida; Asterales; Asteraceae.
UUAUUAUUAUUUUACUCUCUACCGUCGGAGCUACUGCCGGAGUUAGUGACUCGCCGUUACAUAAAAGCUUCGACUCCCAAUCUCUUUCGUUCUAUUCUAAAACCCAUUCCUCCCUUACCCGUUUAGUCCUCUCACCGUUAAACUUAAAAUCCAAGCCCUGUAUUUCCUCGUCCUCAUCAUCACCGGCGGCAUCACAUGGACAGUCAAAGCCCAAGCCCUAAAUCGCCACCUUCAUCGUCUGAGAGUCAAUCGGCAAUCCCAUCUCUGAAGAGUCAAUAUCCGCCAUGAAAGAGUCAAAGUCCAAAUGUUUCUCGUUUCUGUAAAUCCGGCUACUUCAUCAGACUCUUACCGUGAUUAAACACACUAUUCCCAUACACAAACAGUUUAUGGAUUUCAGGUUUGCUUUCAUCUGAAGAGUCAAUUUUGAUUUUAGGUUUGAUUUCAGGAUUUGUAUAGAUUUAUGGACCCAUCUUCUUCCUGGGAUUGUUUGAGAAUUUUUUGGGAUUGUUCUUAUGGUUUAGAUUUAUAGAAACGAAAAACGAAAAUCGAUGAACAAUUGGAUUUAUAGAAAACGAAAAUUCUUUCUGGGAUUGUUUGAGAUUUUUUUGGGAAUUUUCUUCCAGCAGUUUUUCUUCGACCUCAUGGACCAGAAUCGCAAUAAAAUCAUAGGUCCGAGUGCAAAAUAAAAGUUAGGGUAAUUUUUACGAAAUCAUAGGACGAACUAUGAUUUCAGUAAUUUAGUCUAAUAAUAAUAAUAAUUAAUAAGCAAUGUGGAAAUGAAUUUAUUAAGUAUUUGAAAAUACCUUUUAUUGUCUAUGUAUUGAACUACAGCAAGGAGUUUGUAUCCUGCAAUGUUUUCAACUGCAAGAUUGAUGAGAGUGGCAAUGAGACCAGUUAAUAGCCCGACUAGGAAAGCCAAUAACCAUUUAAGGAAUAUAUACUGCAACACUUGCGCUUGCGAUCUGCUUCUCCAAUCGUGCUUGAACAGAUCAUUCUCAUUGAUCCUGCAAAAAAAAAAAAAAAUUAUUUAUUUCAUAAAAAAAAAAAAAAGAAACUCUUGUUUCAUGAAGACAAAAUCUGUAAUGACAACUUACUCAUAAUCCAAGCUUUCGAUAUAG